GCUCUUCUAGUAUUGAUAAUACAAAUGACUUCCAAUCAUUAGACCCUGGUUUCCUAGCCCCAGGGAAGAGCA
This 72-nucleotide transfer RNA is filed under the name Osteolaemus tetraspis (dwarf crocodile). Its description in RNAcentral is "tRNA-Gly". It matches the Rfam family "tRNA". From Rfam's summary of the family: Transfer RNA (tRNA) molecules are approximately 80 nucleotides in length. Their secondary structure includes four short double-helical elements and three loops (D, anti-codon, and T loops). Lineage: Eukaryota; Metazoa; Chordata; Crocodylia; Crocodylidae. The record is from RNAcentral.